This 500-nucleotide ribosomal RNA is filed under the name uncultured bacterium. RNAcentral describes it as "partial 16S ribosomal RNA". It matches the Rfam family "Bacterial small subunit ribosomal RNA", at positions 28 to 507 of the family's 1533-position model. The record is from RNAcentral.
GACGAACGCUGGCGGCGUGCUUAACACAUGCAAGUCGAACGGGCCUGUCUUCUUUUUUGGGGGGUGGGUUGAGUGGCGAACGGGUGAGUAUCACGUGAGUAACCUGCCCUUCGGUCCUGGAUAACCGCUUGAAAGGGCGGCUAAUACGGGGUGGUCCGGUUGGUCCGCAUGGGCUGGUCGGGAUAGAUUCACUGUUUUUGGUGUUUCGGCGGGGGAUGGGCUCGCGGCCUAUCAGCUUGUUGGUGGGGUGAUGGCCUACCAAGGCGGGGACGGGUGGCCGGCCUGAGAGGGUGGGCGGCCACACUGGGACUGGGAUACGGCCCAGACUCCUGCGGGAGGCAGCAGUGGGGGGUAUUGCACAAUGGGCGGAAGCCUGAUGCAGCGACGUCGCGUGAGGGAUGGAGGCCUUCGGGUUGUGAACCUCUGUUUCCGGUGGUGAAGGCCCUGUCCGUGUGGUGGGGUUGACGGUAGCCGGGGAUGAAGCGCCGGCUAACUACGUG